UACGUACCGUCCAAACGUUAUUCGGAAUUACUGGGCUUAAAGGGUAUGUAGGCGGCGCUGUUAGUCGGGUGUGAAAUCCCAGGGCUCAACCCUGGAACUGCGCCCGAUACUGCAGUGCUUGAGGGAGACAGAGGUAAGCGGAACUGAUGGUGGAGCGGUGAAAUGCGUUGAUAUCAUCAGGAACACCAGUGGCGAAGGCGGCUCACUGGUCCAUUACUGACGCUGAGGUGCGAAAGCGUGGGGAGCAAACAGG
RNAcentral lists this ribosomal RNA (253 nucleotides) under uncultured bacterium. RNAcentral's name for it is "partial 16S ribosomal RNA". It matches the Rfam family "Bacterial small subunit ribosomal RNA", at positions 524 to 776 of the family's 1533-position model. The record is from RNAcentral.